AGUAACGCGUGAGGAACCUGCCUCAAAGAGGGGGACAACAGUUGGAAACGACUGCUAAUACCGCAUAAGCCCACGGCUCGGCAUCGAGCAGAGGGAAAAGGAGCAAUCCGCUUUGAGAUGGCCUCGCGCCCGAUUAGCUAGUUGGUGAGGUAAUGGCCCACCAAGGCGACGAUCGGUAGCCGGACUGAGAGGUUGAACGGCCACAUUGGGACUGAGACACGGCCCAG
Molecule: ribosomal RNA, 227 nt
Filed under: uncultured bacterium
Lineage: Bacteria
Description: partial 16S ribosomal RNA
Rfam family: Bacterial small subunit ribosomal RNA
Source: RNAcentral